RNAcentral lists this ribosomal RNA (497 nucleotides) under uncultured bacterium. RNAcentral's name for it is "partial 16S ribosomal RNA". It matches the Rfam family "Bacterial small subunit ribosomal RNA", at positions 28 to 507 of the family's 1533-position model. The record is from RNAcentral.
GAUGAACGCUGGCGGCGUGCCUAAUACAUGCAAGUCGAGCGAACAGACGCGGAGCUUGCUCCUCUGACGUUAGCGGCGGACGGGUGAGUAACACGUGGAUAACCUACCUAUAAGACUGGGAUCACUUCGGGAAACCGGAGCUAAUACCGGAUAAUAUAUUGCACCGCAUGGUUCAAUAGUGAAAGUCGGUUUUGCUGUCACUUAUCGAUGGAUCCGCGCCGCAUUAGCUAGUUGGUAAGGUCAAGGCUUACCAAGGCAACGAUGCGUCGCCGACCUGAGAGAGGGAUCGGCCACACGGGAACUGAGACACGGACCAGAGUCCUACGGGAGGCAGCAGUAGGGAAUCUUCCGCAAUGGGCGAAAGCCUGACGGAACAACGCCGCGUGAGUGAUAAAGGUCUUCGGAUCGUAAAACUCUGUUAUUAGGGAAGAACAAAUGUGUAAGUAACUAUGCACGUCUUGACGGUACCUAAUCAGAAAGCCACGGCUAACUACGUG